Molecule: ribosomal RNA, 454 nt
Filed under: uncultured Parabacteroides sp.
Lineage: Bacteria; Pseudomonadati; Bacteroidota; Bacteroidia; Bacteroidales; Tannerellaceae
Description: partial 16S ribosomal RNA
Rfam family: Bacterial small subunit ribosomal RNA
Source: RNAcentral
ACGGGAGGCAGCAGUGAGGAAUAUUGGUCAAUGGAGGCAACUCUGAACCAGCCAUCUCGCGUGAAGGAAUACGGCCCUAUGGGUCUUAAACUUCUUUUAUAGGGGGAUAAAGUGAGGCAUGUAUGCCUUUUUGUAGGUACCCUAUGAAUAAGCAUCGGCUAACUCCGUGCCAGCAGCCGCGGUAAUACGGAGGAUGCGAGCGUUAUCCGGAUUUAUUGGGUUUAAAGGGUGCGCAGGCGGGCCUUUAAGUCAGCGGUGAAAUCCCGUAGCUCAACUACGGAACUGCCGUUGAUACUGGAGGCCUUGAGUCGUGUCGAGGAUGGCGGAAUGCAGCGUGUAGCGGUGAAAUGCUUAGAUAGGCUGCAGAACUACGAUUGCGAAGGCAGCUGUCCAGAGACGAAAUGACGCUGAGGCACGAAAGCAUGGGUACCAAACAGGAUUAGAUACCCUGGUA